RNAcentral lists this ribosomal RNA (797 nucleotides) under Mesobacillus selenatarsenatis. Its description in RNAcentral is "bacterial SSU rRNA". It matches the Rfam family "Bacterial small subunit ribosomal RNA", at positions 390 to 1178 of the family's 1533-position model. The record is from RNAcentral. Lineage: Bacteria; Bacillati; Bacillota; Bacilli; Caryophanales; Bacillaceae.
AGCAACGCCGCGUGAGCGAUGAAGGCCUUCGGGUCGUAAAGCUCUGUUGUCAGGGAAGAACAAGUACCGGAGUAACUGCCGGUACCUUGACGGUACCUGACCAGAAAGCCACGGCUAACUACGUGCCAGCAGCCGCGGUAAUACGUAGGUGGCAAGCGUUGUCCGGAAUUAUUGGGCGUAAAGCGCGCGCAGGCGGUUCCUUAAGUCUGAUGUGAAAGCCCCCGGCUCAACCGGGGAGGGUCAUUGGAAACUGGGGAACUUGAGUGCAGAAGAGGAGAGCGGAAUUCCACGUGUAGCGGUGAAAUGCGUAGAGAUGUGGAGGAACACCAGUGGCGAAGGCGGCUCUCUGGUCUGUAACUGACGCUGAGGCGCGAAAGCGUGGGGAGCGAACAGGAUUAGAUACCCUGGUAGUCCACGCCGUAAACGAUGAGUGCUAAGUGUUAGAGGGUUUCCGCCCUUUAGUGCUGCAGCAAACGCAUUAAGCACUCCGCCUGGGGAGUACGGCCGCAAGGCUGAAACUCAAAGGAAUUGACGGGGGCCCGCACAAGCGGUGGAGCAUGUGGUUUAAUUCGAAGCAACGCGAAGAACCUUACCAGGUCUUGACAUCCUCUGACAACCCUAGAGAUAGGGCGUUUCCCUUCGGGGAACAGAGUGACAGGUGGUGCAUGGUUGUCGUCAGCUCGUGUCGUGAGAUGUUGGGUUAAGUCCCGCAACGAGCGCAACCCUUGAUCUUAGUUGCCAGCAUUAAGUUGGGCACUCUAAGGUGACUGCCGGUGACAAACCGGAGGAAGGUGGGG